Molecule: long non-coding RNA, 222 nt
Organism: Neocloeon triangulifer
Lineage: Eukaryota; Metazoa; Arthropoda; Insecta; Ephemeroptera; Baetidae
Exons: 4
Source: RefSeq, a predicted model, not a curated record
GGUGAGUGCUUUGUUAUUUGAAACUGGGAUCGACACAUUGUUUGUCGGUGAGUCCGGUUCUGUGGUUUCAUUUCCUGUGGUUGCUAAGACUCGCAGUUUUAAAGAAUUGGUACGUUGAUAAAUCUGCUGUGCCAUCUGAAUUAGUCCCUUAGUGAAGGUGAGUGGAGAUGAGAAUAAAAACCGGACGGAUUUGUUUGUCUGCUGGAGCCGCCCGCUGCUGGG